GACGAACGCUGGCGGCGUGCUUAACACAUGCAAGUCGAACGGAAAGGCCCCUUCGGGGGUACUCGAGUGGCGAACGGGUGAGUAACACGUGAGUAACCUGCCCUUGACUUCGGGAUAACUUCAGGAAACUGGGGCUAAUACCGGAUAGGAAUCCUUGCUGCAUGGUGGGGGUUGGAAAGCUUCGGCGGUUUUGGAUGGACUCGCGGCUUAUCAGCUUGUUGGUGGGGUAGUGGCUUACCAAGGCUUUGACGGGUAGCCGGCCUGAGAGGGCGACCGGCCACAUUGGGACUGAGAGACGGCCCAGACUCCGACGGGAGGCAGCAGUGGGGAAUAUUGCACAAUGGGCGGAAGCCUGAUGCAGCAACGCCGCGUGCGGGAGGACGGCCUUCGGGUUGGAAACCGCUUUCAGCAGGGGCGAAGCUUGUGGUGACGGUACCUGCAGAAGAAGCACCGGCUAACUACGUG
This 465-nucleotide ribosomal RNA is filed under the name uncultured bacterium. RNAcentral's name for it is "partial 16S ribosomal RNA". It matches the Rfam family "Bacterial small subunit ribosomal RNA", at positions 28 to 507 of the family's 1533-position model. The record is from RNAcentral.